CUGAGCAAAUAGCCAAGAUCCUACUGAGAAAUUGAGCGACUGCAUUACUGCAGAGAGCAUGGAGAGUUUUCUCUGAUGACAGAGUAUUCCCUGAGCAUUCAAUGAAUCUUUUACUUUUAUCGUGGGGCUUCUAGUAAGAAAGUCAGAAUGCAAACUUUGUCCUGACUUAAUUGCAUCUGAGGAGGGUGAUGGCUGGAAGCAGCAGGAGAAAGAAGGAAGCUUAGACCAUGCGAGCUUCGUCCAGCAUCCAAUGACCUGUCCAUCUUCUCCUUCCACUGUUUUGCCUUUGGGCGACCCACUUCACAGGAUAAGAUGAGGGACACCAUGAUAUAUUCUCAGAUUUCUAUGAUUUUAUGAGAAGUCUGUGCUCAGAAUAACUUUUCACUGUUUUCUAUUGGCAUUUCAGAAGGUGUAUCCAUUUUACACAUCUCUUUGAAGAACUUGCAACAACAGUUAGUCAAACAGUGAAAAACUUUAAAGAUGCUAAUACUGUGGUGCGAUUUGAAAAUAUGAGUUAUUCAUAAGAAAAAUGCUAAAAUAUUAAAAAGAAUUAGAGUGAAGGGGUACACUAUUGCAUUUAUUCUUGGUAAACAUCCAUGCCACUGUAUCUUUUUGAAGUAUGUG
Molecule: small RNA, 624 nt
Filed under: Rattus norvegicus (Norway rat)
Lineage: Eukaryota; Metazoa; Chordata; Mammalia; Rodentia; Muridae
Description: uncharacterized LOC102547538
Source: RNAcentral